ACGAGAAAAUGGGAGAUUGGAGGAAGCCAGACAGCUUUCGGUAGAAUUGACUGGACAUCUGCCUGUGAAGAAUAGAGAUGCUCAGAAGCAUGACGGCAGGCUCUCAGCAAACAUGGUCUACUCACCGAAAAAGCUUGCAGAUGCUGCGAUUACUGCUAGGAGAGUCUCCAUGUACCUUUUGGUACUUCUUGAUGCUCCAGUGAAAGACCACGGAUGGGAAUUUCCCAUGACCCCUCUCUUAGGAACAAAACAAAGGUCUAUGAAAAAUCUUUCAGUGAUCCCUACUGCAUGUGCUUCUUUAUUUACUGCUUAUUUCUUGAGACGGCUCUCACAAAGGCCUGUUUUUAAAAGAAUUCAGAGGCAAUCUAUGCACUUUCUUUUCAGUUGUACCCAUCAGGCUGGGAGUCUUGAUGUGCAGAGGUGUGAGACUGCACAUGUGCUACUUAAGUAUGCAGUGCAAAGAGCAAACCAGAUGAGAACAAAUUGCUGUCUUCAUUGGAGGUCAAGUUCUCGCACAAGAAGAAUGAAACAUCCCCCAGAGGACAGGAACCAUGCACGUACCAAGGAACAAAUGAGCUGCCUGGCCUGAAAGUGCUGUCACAGCUCAAGGAAAUAAAAUU
Long non-coding RNA from Mus musculus (house mouse), 620 nucleotides. RefSeq annotates it as predicted gene, 54101. NCBI's taxonomy places the organism in Eukaryota, Metazoa, Chordata, Mammalia, Rodentia, Muridae. The record is from RefSeq and is a predicted model, not a curated record. The transcript has 3 exons.